RNAcentral lists this transfer RNA (78 nucleotides) under Candidatus Latescibacterota bacterium. Its description in RNAcentral is "tRNA-Arg". It matches the Rfam family "tRNA". Rfam says of the family: Transfer RNA (tRNA) molecules are approximately 80 nucleotides in length. The record is from RNAcentral. Lineage: Bacteria; Pseudomonadati; Candidatus Latescibacterota. RNAcentral also lists the same sequence under 1 other name.
GCCCCCGUAGCUCAGUCAGGAUAGAGCAGCGGUUUCCUAAACCGCGAGUCGGACGUUCGAGUCGUCUCGGGGGCACCA